ACGCAAUAGAUACCCCGGUAGUCCACGCCCUAAACGAUGUCUACUAGUUGUUGGGAGAGUAAAAUCUCUUAAGUAAACGCAGCUAAACGCGUGAAGUAGACCGCCUGGGGAGUACGGUCGCAAGAUUAAAAACUCAAAGGAAUUGACGGGGGCCCGCACAAGCGGUGGAUUAUGUGGAUUAAUUCGAUGCAACGCGAAAAACCUUACCUGGCCUUGACAUGCUACUAACGAAGCAGAGAUGCAUUAGGUGCCCGAAAGGGAAAGUAGACACAGGUGCUGCAUGGCUGUCGUCAGCUCGUGUCGUGAGAUGUUGGGUUAAGUCCCGCAACGAGCGCAACCCUUGCCAAUAAUUGCCAUCAUUUAGUUGGGCAC
This 372-nucleotide ribosomal RNA is filed under the name uncultured bacterium. RNAcentral's name for it is "bacterial SSU rRNA". It matches the Rfam family "Bacterial small subunit ribosomal RNA", at positions 772 to 1138 of the family's 1533-position model. The record is from RNAcentral.